GGCCAGCAGCCGCGGUAAUACGUAGGGUGCAAGCGUUGUUCGGAAUCACUGGGCGUAAAGGGAGCGUAGGCGGAAUUGUAAGUUAGGAGUGUAAUACCCGGGCUUAACCCGGGUCUUGCUUUUAAUACUGCAAUUCUUGAGUUUGGAAGAGGGAGAUGGAAUUCCAGGUGUAGCGGUGGAAUGCGUAGAUAUCUGGAAGAACACCAGUAGCGAAGGCGGUCUCCUGGUCCUAUACUGACGCUGAGGCUCGAAAGUUAGGGGAGCAAACAGGAUUAGAUACCCUGGUAGUCCUAACUAUAAACUAUGGAUACUAGAUGCUGGGGGAGUCAAUCUUUCCAGCGUCGUAGCUAACGCAUUAAGUAUCCCGCCUGGGAAGUACGCCCGCAAGGGUGAAACUCAAAGGAAUUGACGGGGGCCCGCACA
This 423-nucleotide ribosomal RNA is filed under the name uncultured bacterium. RNAcentral's name for it is "bacterial SSU rRNA". It matches the Rfam family "Bacterial small subunit ribosomal RNA", at positions 506 to 927 of the family's 1533-position model. The record is from RNAcentral.